AGUUGCGCCGAAGAUUUAACGGGGCUAAGCAUACAACCGAAGCUUAGGCUGCAUACGAAAGUAUGCGGGGUAGGGGAGCGUUGUGUAAGGGGUGAAGCGAUAGCGGAAGCAGUCGUGGACUUUACAGAAGAGAGAAUGCCGGAAUAAGUAGCGAGAAUUGCGUGAGAAUCGCAAUGGCCGAAAAUCUGAGGUUUCUAGGGGAAGGUUCGUCCGCCCUAGGUAAGCCGGAGCUAAGGCGAGGCCGGAAGGCGUAGCCGAUGCACAUACGGUAGAAAUUCCGUAGCCACCGAAAUUGUUAAGAUUACUGACACUGAGUAAAGCUGUUACCGGGCGAUGGUUGUCCCGGGCGUAAGCGACUGAAAUUAGAGUAGGGAAGUACAGUGUAAUCAGGCGAGAAAAGGUAAUUGUAUUGAUGAGGUGCCCGUACCGCAAACCGACACAGGUAGAUGAGGAGAGAAUCCUAAGGCCAGCGGGAGAAGGGUUGUUAAGGAACUCGGCAAAUUGACCCCGUAACUUAGGGAGAAGGGGAGCCUACGAAAGUAGGCCGCAGUGAAUAGGCCCAGGCAACUGUUUAUCAAAAACACAGGUCUCUGCAAAACCGAAAGGUGAAGUAUAGGGGCUGACGCCUGCCCGGUGCCGGAAGGUCAAGGGGAAGUGUUAGAGCAAUCGAAGCACAGAACUUAAGCCCCGGUAAACGGCGGCCGUAACUAUAACGGUCCUAAGGUAGCGAAAUUCCUUGUCAGGUAAGUUCUGACCCGCACGAAUGGCGUAAUGAUCUGGGCACUGUCUCAACAGCCCGCCCGGCGAAAUUGUAGUACCGGUGAAGAUGCCGGUUACCCGCGACUAGACGGAAAGACCCCAUGGAGCUUUACUGUAGUUUGAUACUGGAUUUCGACAGAUUAUGUACAGGAUAUGUGGGAGACAUAGAAGUGAUUGCGCCAGCAGUCAUGGAGUCGACCUUGGGAUACCACGCUUAAUCUGUUGGGAUUCUAACCUGCACCUUUGAAUCAAGGUGGGGGACAAUGUCAGGCAGGCAGUUUGACUGGGGCGGUCGCCUCCAAAAGAGUAACGGAGGCGUUCAAAGGUUGGUUCAGCGCGGACGGAAAUCGCGCAGUGAGUAUAAACGCAGAAACCGGCCUAACUGUGAGACAAACACGUCGAACAGUAACGAAAGUUGGAGUUAGUGAUCAGGUGGUAGUGAAUGGAAAUGCCAUCGCUUAACGGAUAAAAGCUACCCUGGGGAUAACAGGCUGAUCUCCCCCAAGAGUUCACAUCGACGGGGAGGUUUGGCACCUCGAUGUCGGCUCAUCACAUCCUGGGGCUUGGAGCAGGUCCCAAGGGUUCGGCUGUCCGCCGAUUAAAGUGGUACGCGAGCUGGGUUCAGAACGUCGUGAGACAGUUCGGUCCCUAUCUGUCGUGGGCGUAGGAUAUUUGAGAGGAGCUGUCCUUAGUACGAGAGGACCGGGAUGGACAUACCGCCGGUGCAUCGGUUGUUCCGCCAGGAGCACAGCCGGGUAGCCGAGUAUGGAUGUGAUAAACGCUGAAAGCAUCUAAGCGUGAAACACACCUCAAGAUAAGAUAUCCCACAAUGUUAAGUUGGUAAGGACACUUGAAGACGACAAGUUUGAUAGGUCAGAGGUGUAAGUGCAGUAAUGCAUUGAGUUGACUGAUACUAAUAGUCCGAGGGCUUGAACAA
RNAcentral lists this ribosomal RNA (1696 nucleotides) under human gut metagenome. RNAcentral describes it as "bacterial LSU rRNA". It matches the Rfam family "Bacterial large subunit ribosomal RNA", at positions 1157 to 2925 of the family's 2925-position model. The record is from RNAcentral.